RNAcentral lists this ribosomal RNA (292 nucleotides) under uncultured bacterium. RNAcentral's name for it is "partial 16S ribosomal RNA". It matches the Rfam family "Bacterial small subunit ribosomal RNA", at positions 505 to 796 of the family's 1533-position model. The record is from RNAcentral.
GUGUCAGCCGCCGCGGUAAUACGGAGGGCGCAAGCGUUGUUCGGAAUUACUGGGCGUAAAGCGCGUGUAGGCGGUUCUGCAAGUCGGUUGUGAAAUCCCCGGGCUCAACCCGGGAACUGCAUCCGAAACUGCAGGGCUAGAGUUCCGGAGAGGAAGGCAGAAUUCCCAAUGUAGGGGUGAAAUCCGUAGAUAUUGGGAGGAAUACCAGUGGCGAAGGCGGCCUUCUGGACGGUGACUGACGCUGAGACGCGAAAGCGUGGGGAGCAAACAGGAUUAGAUACCCUAGUAGUCC